Molecule: ribosomal RNA, 206 nt
Filed under: uncultured bacterium
Lineage: Bacteria
Description: partial 16S ribosomal RNA
Rfam family: Bacterial small subunit ribosomal RNA
Source: RNAcentral
CGGAUUGCAGGCUGNAACCCGCCUGUAUGAAGUUGGAAUCGCUAGUAAUCGCGGAUCAGCAUGCCGCGGUGAAUACGUUCCCGGGCCUUGUACACACCGCCCGUCACACCAUGAGAGUCGGGAACACCCGAAGUCCGUAGCCUAACCGCAAGGAGGGCGCGGCGAAGGUGGGUUCGAUAAUUGGGGUGAAGUCGUAACAAGGUAAC